UGGGGAAUAUUGCACAAUGGGCGAAAGCCUGAUGCAGCGACGCCGCGUGCGGGAUGAAGGCCUUCGGGUUGUAAACCGCUUUUAAUUGGGAGCAAGCGAGAGUGAGUGUACCUUUUGAAUAAGCACCGGCUAACUACGUGCCAGCAGCCGCGGUAAUACGUAGGGUGCAAGCGUUAUCCGGAAUUAUUGGGCGUAAAGAGCUCGUAGGCGGUUUGUCACGCCUGGUGUGAAAGUCCAUCGCUUAACGGUGGAUCUGCGCCGGGUACGGGCAGGCUAGAGUGCAGUAGGGGAGAUUGGAAUUCCCGGUGUAACGGUGGAAUGUGUAGAUAUCGGGAAGAACACCAAUGGCGAAGGCAGAUCUCUGGGCUGUUACUGACGCUGAGGAGCGAAAGCAUGGGGAGCGAACAGGAUUAGAUACCCUGGUAGUCCAUGCCGUAAAACGGUGGAUGCUGGAUGUGGGACCCUUCCACGGGUUCCGUGUCGGAGCUAACGCGUUAAGCAUCCCGCCUGGGGAGUACGGCCGCAAGGCUAAAACUCUAAAGUGAAUUGACGGGGUC
RNAcentral lists this ribosomal RNA (557 nucleotides) under uncultured bacterium. RNAcentral's name for it is "partial 16S ribosomal RNA". It matches the Rfam family "Bacterial small subunit ribosomal RNA", at positions 355 to 920 of the family's 1533-position model. The record is from RNAcentral.